RNAcentral lists this long non-coding RNA (770 nucleotides) under Triticum aestivum (bread wheat). Its description in RNAcentral is "long non-coding RNA (TAES_LNC008151)". Lineage: Eukaryota; Viridiplantae; Streptophyta; Magnoliopsida; Poales; Poaceae. The record is from RNAcentral.
AGUCGGGACAAGGCUCCAAUAACUGUGUGGUAGGUGGAUCUUCACCUGGACAAGCAAGUCCAGUGACACCCACUACGGUUCAUGUUGCUUCGACCUCCCCGCAACACUGAUCACUUGAGGUAGUCUUCCAUGUUUGUCCAUUGUUGAUGCUUGCGUCUUCUCGUUGCUUGUGCUUCUCAACUUAAAACUUGUGCAUUGUUGAUGGUAGAGUCCACAAAUGUCGAUGCUUAUAUUGUACAUACUUCCUAGCUUCUAUUUGAGCCUCAUAUGUUGAUGCUUGUUAACUCUUUUUCCUUAUCCAUCUUUUCAACUUAUGUUUAGAAACUCAUGCGUGUGAUAAUGGACUUAUAGGUUUGCAUUGUGGGCGUUGACGGUGGGCAUAUAUGCUGCGGUGGAGCUCAUUGGUUCAUGCUUGGUGUGAACUUGGAACUCAUGAUCCUUUAAUUUGUGAACCUCUCGUUGCAUAUGUAUGUAUGUUGUUGUGAACCUUCGUUGGAUAUGUAUGCACUGUGUGGACCUGAAACUUACGGUCCUUUCGUUUGUGAUCUUUUGUUGCAUACGUAUGCAUAUGUGGACUCUGCACUCAUGUACGGCUGGAUAUAUGUAUUACUUGAUAUAUGCUUGUUGGUCAUGGUCAUGUACUGCUGGAUACAUAUAUUUGUUGGAUAUAUGUGCUGCUGGAUAGAUGUAUUACUGUAUAUAUGUUGUUGCUGCUCCCUGAAGUGAUAUAUGUGCUGCUGGAUAGAUGUACUAGUGUAUAUAUGUUGUUG